GUUUAUAUACUGCUUACGUGAUGAUGAUUUUUCAACUAUUGUAUUUUAUCCAAACUUUCCUUAAAAUUGUGUGAAUGUUAAAUUCUAUUUAAAGAAAGCAUGCUGACGAAGCUAAUUCAACAAACCUACGCUUUCAAAAUAACAACACGUUUUAGCAAAAAAUAAAGACUUUUAAUUCGGGUUAAUUAGACAGUUAUUACUUUCUUGUCCAAAAUAAAUCCAAUUUAAUUAUACAAUCGUCAGCAAAUUAGUUUUCUUGCAACCCACACUUUCGUUCAAUCUUUUCUAUAAAAACUAUAAAAUACCCAUUCGUCUCAAUCAGAAUUAAAUUCAGGUCAAGGAAAGAGAAAGAAAGUUCUAAUUAAAAGUCAACAUGAAGUUUUUUUCUAAGUCAGGCACAAAGCAAACAAAAUCAUCCUCAACAUCACAACAAAAACAACAAACUGCGGUUAAAGUAAAAUGCGUUACCAUCGUUAAGUCAUCUGGAAAACAAUUUAAACUAAAGUGAGAGAAUUAAUAUGUUGAAAAUGAUUGGAAAGAUAUUUUGAGGAAGACAGCAUCUGUUUUUAUUUCCUCUUCCAUAGCACUGCUGGAGUAGCAACAAUAAAUUGCACCAUAUAAAACCGCUUACUGUUAAUUGACCGCCUGCGAGUUUGUUUACGACACAAGAUUGAAAGAGUACGGAAGAUUUUAUUCCAAUCAAUUACCCAAAACAUUUACAUACUACACAACAACAACAACAACAACAACAACAACAACAACAACAACAACAACAACAACAACAACAACAACAACAACAACAACAACAACAACAACAACAAUAUAUUACGUUUUACGAAACAUUGUAGCAAUGAUAAAUUCUUAUGUAAUGGUGAUACACUGCUACAAAUUAACAUCUUGUUUAUCGUUGUGUUGUCUUCGCCUUAAUGUACAUCUGAGUUAGUUUUGUUUUACUUAUUUAGCAUUCAAAUUGUAUCCUACUUACUUGGACAAGAUUUUUUACUAUUU
Molecule: long non-coding RNA, 1008 nt
Organism: Hydractinia symbiolongicarpus
Lineage: Eukaryota; Metazoa; Cnidaria; Hydrozoa; Anthoathecata; Hydractiniidae
Exons: 2
Source: RefSeq, a predicted model, not a curated record